CCCCACGUGACCGCGGCCCCUCACGUUUCUGAGAGCUCAAACCACCGUCUGUGUGCUGCCAACACAGCGGGUUUCCCUGGACCUGCUCCGUGGUUACACUGGGAACGGCCAACAACCGACCGAGGCAUCGCAGUGACACGACUCGGUAGAACCCUUCUGUGUCUUCACAGGGCAGCUGUAGAUGCAGAUCUGAAAAUAAGUGGGUAGCAACAGCAAAAGUGGUCUCAAUGUCUCAAGUAAAAGGCAGAGGACCCAAAUCAGCAGUACUGACCUUUCUUAACUUCGAGAAUUUUAGACAGUACUUUAAGAACUGUCAUUUUUCUUUCUCCUAAAAUAUUUUUUCUGCUAAGAUAUCCGGAAAGUAAACAUCAAGUCAACAAGAA
Molecule: long non-coding RNA, 383 nt
Organism: Corvus hawaiiensis (hawaiian crow)
Lineage: Eukaryota; Metazoa; Chordata; Aves; Passeriformes; Corvidae
Exons: 2
Source: RefSeq, a predicted model, not a curated record